Molecule: ribosomal RNA, 400 nt
Filed under: uncultured bacterium
Lineage: Bacteria
Description: bacterial SSU rRNA
Rfam family: Bacterial small subunit ribosomal RNA
Source: RNAcentral
UGGGGAAUUUUCCGCAAUGGGCGAAAGCCUGACGGAGCAAUACCGCGUGAGGGAGGAAGGCUCUUGGGUUGUAAACCUCAAAACUUAGGGAAGAAAAAAAUGACGGUACCUAAUAUAAGCAUCGGCUAACUCCGUGCCAGCAGCCGCGGUAAUACGGAGGAUGCAAGCGUUAUCCGGAAUCAUUGGGCGUAAAGCGUCCGUAGGUGGCAUCUCAAGUCCAGUUUCAAAGACCGAAGCUCAACUUCGGAAAGGGAGUGGAAACGGGGAAGCUAGAGUAUAGUAGGGGUAGAGGGAAUUCCUAGUGUAGCGGUGAAAUGCGUAGAGAUUAGGAAGAACACCAGUGGCGAAGGCGCUCUACUGGGCAUAUACUGACACUGAGGGACGAAAGCUAGGGGAGCGA